UUUGACGAUAAAUACUUAUUAAAAUUCAAAUUAUUUAUUUCUGCCUUGUAAAGGUACAGACAGCAGAGGCGCAGAAAAAGCUGUCAGAUACAGAUUGACAAAGCCGCAGCCCCCUUUCGCUUGGCAGAGCCUUUACAGCGACACUUUUAAAACAAAGACAAUUGCACCCGGUAAUAACAGGUAUACAAUACUGAGCAAGUACAAAAGGAAACCAAUCAAGAUUAUACGAUAUUUGUACAAUACUCCCAAACAAGAAAACAGAACCUACAUGCUAACGUACAUAGCACCCAAAGUACUGUUCGACACGUUGAAGAGGUCAAAAUUAUUGUUCACAUAAGGUAUAUACAUAUUCGUAUAGCGCUACCAAUCCCUGCAAAAUAUAGAACGCAGAUUUUCAUUACACACACGCACGCACGCACGUACACAGCACACACACCAAAAGGAAACGGCAACGCGCUCACAGGAAGCGCCUGAAAAACGAAAAAAAAGGAAAAGUGUGGGGAACCGAGGUCGUCUUGGGCUGUCGCCUCUCCCUCUCCCAGAAGGAAUGAAGAGGUUCUUGGAAAGCAGGGACGGGCGAUUCUCUCUGUCAGCAUCAGCUCCCACCAGCGAGGACGGGGCGAGAAAGCGAAACGGGACUUUCCUUGCUGUCUAUUUUUUCUUCGUCAGGCCAACGCCGCUUGCUUGCAGGGGCGCAGGCGAGUUCCCGCCAAAUGGCGCGGGUGCGUGAGUUGCCGCCAAAUGCUAGCUCUGGAUGCCAGCUCGUUCCGCGUCUCAUGGUAGACUAGUUGGUGCAUUUCUGUUAUCAUGGACUGCGCAUAUAAACGCAAGCUACACAAAAGUGACAAGGACAAGAACAGCGCAAGCCCUUUACAUGCAGUGGAGCCGCCGUAUCUCGCCGUUCAAGAUAUGCGUACUCGUAAGUGGCAUUUUAAUUUCACGUUGUGUAAUGCAUGACUGUCUUUUUCAAGUGAACAAAGGUCGCUUUGUAUUGUGUAAAUGGUUUUGCAACGUAUGAUAAACUCCUUGUCUUUCGGGCUUAUUUUUUCUGACAGGAAGAAAAAAAAAAGAGGCUUUACAUGAGAACGGAUCAAGCGUUCGAGAGUUGGGACAGAGAAAUGUGAGACGUACUUUCAUGUAUAUAUUUCUAAUAUUAUUUUUUCGUCUUGUAUUCUCGUUAAUUUUUCUCUAGGAAACGCUGGAACGACACUGCUUAAAUUGAAGCACAGUACGUGUGCGAAUGACCUGCUACGCUCGGAACUGUUAUCACCAUUCGGGAAGAAAUUGGGUAAGAAUGGAUUGUGUGUGGCGCGCUUCACCGCAUGUGGACUAGAGUAGAUCUAGGAACAUCAGACAAGAAGACACGUAUGUGAAACCCUGCGGAUAGCCCAUAUGUGAACUUUUUUUCCAGAUACGGAGGAACGGACACCGGUCGUGCCGUGAGCACUAUUCUGCAGGGCAUACUUCCAAAUGAAGCUGCACUGCAGUUCAGCUGGAAAGGGUCGCAGGGGAGGAAGCACGCCUUCGUGAAGCUCAUGGCCAUCACGAAUAUAACAUCUGUGAGGAGCACGUUCCCUGACGCUUCACUAGCAUCAGUGGCUGGAGUCGCAAAACGCUGGUUGGUUGGAGCAGCUGACAGGGAUGGAGGCCGGAAUGAAAGAAGGCGCCGUGACCCUGCUUCAAGCCCACCAAAUAUGAACUAGUGUUUGAAACUUGUGAACGUGUCGGUGUACAUAUACAAUUACAAGAAAUAAAGACCUGUAUCAGAA
This is a non-coding RNA of Dermacentor andersoni, 1769 nucleotides long. The record is from RefSeq and is a predicted model, not a curated record. NCBI's taxonomy places the organism in Eukaryota, Metazoa, Arthropoda, Arachnida, Ixodida, Ixodidae.